RNAcentral lists this ribosomal RNA (116 nucleotides) under Pseudomonas viridiflava. Lineage: Bacteria; Pseudomonadati; Pseudomonadota; Gammaproteobacteria; Pseudomonadales; Pseudomonadaceae. The record is from RNAcentral.
CUUGACGACCAUAGAGCAUUGGAACCACUUGAUCCCAUCCCGAACUCAGCAGUGAAACGAUGCAUCGCCGAUGGUAGUGUGGGGUUUCCCCAUGUGAGAGUAGGUCAUCGUCAAGA